This 1270-nucleotide ribosomal RNA is filed under the name metagenome. RNAcentral describes it as "bacterial LSU rRNA". It matches the Rfam family "Bacterial large subunit ribosomal RNA", at positions 1112 to 2395 of the family's 2925-position model. The record is from RNAcentral.
GCAGCCAUCCUCAAAGGAGUGCGUAAUAGCUCACUGGUCGAGCGAUCCUGCGCCGAAAAUGAACGGGGCUAAGCAUUGUACCGAAGCUGCGGAUUUAAUUGUUCUUAGGAACAUUCAAAUGGUAGGGGAGCGUUCCAUGUGGGGUGAAGCGUUAGCGUAAGCGGGCGUGGACUGCAUGGAAGUGAGAAUGUCGGCUUGAGUAGCGAAAACAUGGGUGAGAAUCCCAUGCCCCGAAACCCUAAGGGUUCCUCCGGCAGGCUCGUCCGCGGAGGGUUAGUCAGGACCUAAGGCGAGGCCGAAAGGCGUAGUCGAUGGACAACAGGUCAACAUUCCUGUACCUGUCAUGUUUUGGGAAGGGGGACGGAGAAGGCUAGCCCAGCCAGAUGUUGGUUACUGGUUCAAGCGUUCGAGGCGUUGAGGAGCGGAGAAAACGCUCUGAGCUGAGGCGUGAGUACGAGCUGCUACGGCAGCGAAGUGGGUGAUGUCAAGCUUCCAAGAAAAGCCCUAUACCCGUUAAGGCAUGAUGGCCUGUACCCGAAACCGACACAGGUGGGGUGGUAGAGAAUACCGAGGGGCGCGAGAUAACUCUCUCUAAGGAACUCGGCAAAAUGGCCCCGUAACUUCGGGAGAAGGGGUGCCACCGCAAGGUGGUCGCAGUGAAGAGGCCCAGGCGACUGUUUACCAAAAACACAGGUCUCCGCUAAGUCGCAAGACGAUGUAUGGGGGCUGACGCCUGCCCAGUGCCGGAAGGUUAAGGAAGCUGGUCAGCGAAAGCGAAGCUAGCGACUGAAGCCCCGGUGAACGGCGGCCGUAACUAUAACGGUCCUAAGGUAGCGAAAUUCCUUGUCGGGUAAGUUCCGACCCGCACGAAAGGCGUAACGAUCUGGGCGCUGUCUCGGAGAGAGGCUCGGCGAAAUAGAAUUGUCUGUGAAGAUGCGGACUACGUGCACCCGGACAGAAAGACCCUAUGAAGCUUUACUGUAGCUUGGUAUUGUGCCCGGGCUCUGAAUGCGCAGGAUAGGUGGGAGGCUUUGAUCCAUGGCUUGCGGGUCAUGGUGAGCCAACGGUGAGAUACCACUCUUUCAGAGCUAGGGUUCUAACAGCCACCCGUUAUCCGGGGGCUGGACAGUAUCAGGUGGGCAGUUUGACUGGGGCGGUCGCCUCCUAAAAGGUAACGGAGGCGCGCAAAGGUUUGCUCAGGCUGGUUGGAAAUCAGCCGACGAGUGUAAAAGCAGAAGCAAGCUUGACUGUGAGACCUACAAGUCGAACA